UGGAUAUUGCGUAUACAAGAAAUCCAAAGGAAAGCAAAUGAACUUGAACAGUGACUCUGUCAGUGGACAAGCAGCUGCCAACCAGAUGGUGCCCCUUACUGCAUAGUGAUGGAAACAAUUAAAAACACACAUCAAAAGGUCAAUAAUUUGAACUGAUGUUGUUGUGAACUGGAUUAAUCGAGUGUGCACCGAUGUUGAACUGACACUGCUGCCUGGCGUGUUGGAUAAGUAUAUCGCAACGCACAGACCCCGCUGAAUUAUUCCAAAUGUUCUUGAUUUAAAAAAGAAUCUAUUGAAAGUGAGUGCAUGGGAAGUUAAGUUACAAAGCUUCAGGCCAGAUACAAACACAUUCUUGCAAAGCAAGGUCUGUGAAACUUCGAUCAACUACGCAAACUAUGGAAGUCAUUUUUUAUCUUUAUAUUGAGUUUUUCUGGAAACUUAAUUUAUUUAACAAUUGAUAGCUACUGUGCUGGUUCCACUGAAUCUAUUAGAGCUGUUUGAGUUAUUUUUGUCAAAGGCUUUUGUUUAUUUCUAAAUUUAUAAUAUGGAAUUUCUCACAAGAACUAAUUCCUUUUUGUUAGAUGAUAUUUCUCCGGAUGGUACAGCUAGUUUUGUUUGUGCUGUUUAAAAUAAUUAUUGAGGAUCCAGUGCCCGUGUCCCCUUGGUCAGUAGUUUGUUGUCAUGAUGUGUCUCACAUCUGGGCAGAUGUUGGAUGGCCAGUAUGGAUCGUGCAUGUAUUAAUCAUGCAGACUGGAGCAGCUGCCAUUCCAAUCUCACAGUAAAAUUACGUUAAUAAAACUCAUU
This is a long non-coding RNA of Amblyraja radiata (thorny skate), 804 nucleotides long. RefSeq lists it as uncharacterized. The record is from RefSeq and is a predicted model, not a curated record. Lineage: Eukaryota; Metazoa; Chordata; Chondrichthyes; Rajiformes; Rajidae. The transcript is spliced from 3 exons.